GGUUCUUUGAAACUUUUCUGGAUCUGUCAGUCUGGUUCACAGAAAACUGGUUUUAUCAGUAUUGGUCAUGGCACAAAAACGGUAGAGUUGAGGUGUUUUUCCUCCGUCACGGAGACAGAGCUGAGAUUUUCGACAGCCCGUGUGAUCUAAUCCAAGCUUGGAGGAGGGAUGGCCACGUCCCAGGGCCCAGCUGGCCACUGGAGCCUGAUGGUGAUUGUGGAGACUGCAGGUGGAGCCCUUCCCCAGGUUUCCCAGUAUCAGUGAAACCUGCCAACCAGGAAGAAGACUGUUUAUCCUUUGAGGAUGUGGCUGUGGACUUCUCCUGGGAGGAAUGGACACUGCUUGAUGACUCUCAAAGGAUCCUGCACCAGACGUUGAUGUCAGAAAUAUGAACACUCAUGUAUUUACUUGACUUAAACCUUCUGGGAUCCAUGGGCUUACUCAGCUGGAGUCUUGGGGAGAGCCCUCUGUG
RNAcentral lists this long non-coding RNA (472 nucleotides) under Mus musculus (house mouse). RNAcentral describes it as "predicted gene, 65457". The record is from RNAcentral. Lineage: Eukaryota; Metazoa; Chordata; Mammalia; Rodentia; Muridae.